RNAcentral lists this ribosomal RNA (427 nucleotides) under uncultured bacterium. RNAcentral describes it as "partial 16S ribosomal RNA". It matches the Rfam family "Bacterial small subunit ribosomal RNA", at positions 355 to 774 of the family's 1533-position model. The record is from RNAcentral.
UGGGGAAUAUUGCACAAUGGGCGCAAGCCUGAUGCAGCCAUGCCGCGUGUAUGAAGAAGGCCUUCGGGUUGUAAAGUACUUUCAGCGAGGAGGAAGGCGUUGUGGUUAAUAACCGCAGCGAUUGACGUUACUCGCAGAAGAAGCACCGGCUAACUCCGUGCCAGCAGCCGCGGUAAUACGGAGGGUGCAAGCGUUAAUCGGAAUUACUGGGCGUAAAGCGCACGCAGGCGGUCUGUCAAGUCGGAUGUGAAAUCCCCGGGCUCAACCUGGGAACGGCAUCCGAAACUGGCAGGCUAGAGUCUUGUAGAGGGGGGUAGAAUUCCAGGUGUAGCGGUGAAAUGCGUAGAGAUCUGGAGGAAUACCGGUGGCGAAGGCGGCCCCCUGGACAAAGACUUACGCUCAGGUGCGAAAGAGUGGGGAGCAAACA